Molecule: transfer RNA, 76 nt
Filed under: Camelus bactrianus (Bactrian camel)
Lineage: Eukaryota; Metazoa; Chordata; Mammalia; Artiodactyla; Camelidae
Also listed under: 2 other names
Rfam family: tRNA
About the family: Transfer RNA (tRNA) molecules are approximately 80 nucleotides in length. Their secondary structure includes four short double-helical elements and three loops (D, anti-codon, and T loops). Further hydrogen bonds mediate the characteristic L-shaped molecular structure. tRNAs have two regions of fundamental functional importance: the anti-codon, which is responsible for specific mRNA codon recognition, and the 3' end, to which the tRNAs corresponding amino acid is attached (by aminoacyl-tRNA synthetases). tRNAs cope with the degeneracy of the genetic code in two manners: having more than one tRNA (with a specific anti-codon) for a particular amino acid; and 'wobble' base-pairing, i.e. permitting non-standard base-pairing at the 3rd anti-codon position.
Source: Rfam by way of RNAcentral
GAGGGUAUAGCUCAGUGGUGGAGCACAUGCUUAGCAUGCAUGAGGUCCUGGGUUUUGUCAAUCCCUAGUAGCUCCA